Molecule: long non-coding RNA, 226 nt
Filed under: Nicotiana benthamiana
Lineage: Eukaryota; Viridiplantae; Streptophyta; Magnoliopsida; Solanales; Solanaceae
Description: long non-coding RNA (NBEN_LNC033837)
Source: RNAcentral
GUCCAGAAUCAACAAUCGAUUACUCAGCAAUGUUCAAAAAAUCUUUUCCGGAUUUUAAUCAAAACAAUCGAUUAUACAGAAUCAAUAAUCGAUUACCCAUUAACGUUCAAAAAAUCUUUUCCGGAUUUUAAUCAAAACAAUCGAUUAUACAGAGUCAAUAAUCGAUUACCCAAUAACGUUCAAAAAAUCUUUUUCGGAUUUUAGUCAAAACAAUCGAUUAUACAGA